This is a long non-coding RNA of Columba livia (rock pigeon), 1859 nucleotides long. RefSeq lists it as uncharacterized. The transcript has 4 exons. The record is from RefSeq and is a predicted model, not a curated record. Lineage: Eukaryota; Metazoa; Chordata; Aves; Columbiformes; Columbidae.
ACCGGCCCGACCCGCGUCCGCUCGGCUGUACGGGCGCCCGGGAGCCGCCGCCGCCGGGCUCCCCACGGCAGCCACUAGGGGAGGAGGCAGCGCGCCUGCGCCGCUGCGGACCGCGGGGGCGCCGUGCUGGGGGGGCCGCGCAGCCCGCCCCGGUGCAGCGGUUCCAGGCCGCGGCGGGGCCGCCGCAGCGCGCAGUGGCUAUGGAACAUGCUGCCACCGUCCUGCUCCAAAAUCCCUGAGCCUGAAGCCCCAGUGACAGAGGAUCCCUGUGCAGCUUGGAGGGGACUUGCCAAAACAAUUGCCUUCCCUCAGGCUAUAAGGGAAUGAUGUUAGUAGUACAGAGGAUGAUGCAUCUUUCCAUUUACAUCUGUAAAAACGCGCACAAGACUUCUAACUAAAACACAGCCUGAAGAAAGUUAAUGAGGUUGUUAAUAGUCUGCGUCACUAAUGAAAAGGCUAUAAAUGAUUCUGGUCUUUUCCUUCAGACCUUGAUGAAUCAGGACAGAACAUUGACUUUUCUAAAGGAACAGCAACUGUAAGUAAAAAAAUAGGAGAAAAAUCAAGAAUAAAAAAAAAAAAAGGAAAGCCGAUGACAAGAGCUACUACUGAUUGUGACCAUUCUCUUGUGAGCUGGAGGUUUCUUCCAUCUUAAUGGACAUUUUGACCAUCUCGUUAAUUAACUUUCUUUAGAAAGGUCAAACCUCUUUUUCUGCUCAAGGUCAUGCACUUCAAUAAGAAAUUUUUCAUCAGCUACAGUAGCAAUACAGCAAGAUAAAAUCCAGGGGGGUUGAUUAUGAGCACAUUACUUCACACCCCUUUGCCCUGUCCUCACUUUUCACUGACAGUUAAUGAUAUAAAGAAUUUGACGUGACCAAUGUGAAUAAUCACACAGGCUUAUGAAGAUGCGCAAUUAUGUAACAGCAAGCUCAUCCACUUCCAGUUUGGAGAUGGAUUUAGCUUCAAACAGAAAGAAAACGACAAUCCGAAAAUCCACAUGGACCUGUUAAUUGUGAAAAGCGCUCCAUGGAAAGUGAGCGUGCCACCUUUACAUUAAAAACCUUGUUUUCAAUAGCAAAAAUGCAUAGUGAAAUUUAAUUAUGCAGCUUAUUGCUUCUUAAAAAAUGACUGAACCUCUUGAUCGAUUGGGUCAAGAUUUACACAAGGCCUUGCGUAAAGCACAACUCAACUGGGAAUGACACUGCAGGAAUAUUUACAUCUUCAAAGUAUUCUUCAGGUUUCAGUGACAACAGAAGAGGAAAGAAAAGAAAACAGAGAGCAAUUUUUCAUUGAAUUAAUAAUCCUGCUCGAAAUAUUGAAGGAUCGCCCAGCAAACUGUGGUGACUUGCGAUAAGAAGUUGUGGGGUGAUAUAAAACUACCACUAUCCUGUUUUGGAAAUUUCUGUCCAAGUACUAAGAUCCAUUCCAUUUCAUGAAUUCUUCAUGCAAACUGCAUAAAAUACUUCUUUUUUUUAAAAAAAAAAAUGAGUGCUUUCCAUAACAGUAUUUUGGCAAAUUAAAUUAAAACAGGUUCCUAUGACAGUUUCUACAAAUAUUUCUAUUUUAGCCUUGUUUUGUAUUAUAAAUAUGUCAAGAUGAAGCCAUUUCUGUCAAAACAGACUUUUUUCCUCAUGGGAAAUUUUUCCAGGCAUUUUUUUAAACGCCUUAAUUUUCAGUACUCAUCGAAGUCAAGAUGAAGGUUAUUUCAAAUGCUCUUACAUCUGUGUAAUCCUAAACCCACGAGAGCAUAGCUUUAGUCUCAUAAAUGAACAACAUCGUUAGAUACAGUAUUGUUAAUUUAAUUGAUUUUGUUUACUGCGCUGUAUAACAAGUGAUUGAAAAAUAAAUGACAUUUAACAUUG